Molecule: ribosomal RNA, 546 nt
Filed under: uncultured archaeon
Lineage: Archaea
Description: bacterial SSU rRNA
Rfam family: Archaeal small subunit ribosomal RNA
Source: RNAcentral
ACGGGGUGCAGCAGGCGCGAAAACUUGGCAAUGCGAGAAAUCGUGACCAGGGAACUCCAAGUGCAUGGGGUAAGACCCAUGCUUUUCUUGACUCUAAAUAGGUCUUGGAAUAAGGGGUGGGUAAGGACGGUGCCAGCCGCCGCGGUAAUACCGGCGCCUCAAGUGGUAGUCGCUUUUAUUGGGCCUAAAACGUCCGUAGCCGGUCUGAUACAUUCGUGGGUAAAUCAACCAGCUUAACUGGUUGAAUUCUGCGAGGACGGUCAGACUUGGGACCGGGAGAGGUGUGGGGUACGCUCAGGGUAGGGGUAAAAUCCUGUCAUCCUGAGCGGACCACCUGUUGCGAAGGCGCCACACUAGAACGGAUCCGACGGUCAGGGACGAAGCCUAGGGGCACGAACCGGAUUAGAUACCCGGGUAGUCCUAGGUGUAAACGCUGUGGACUUGAUGUUGGGGGUGCUCCGAGCACUCUCAGUGUCGAAGCGAAGGUGAUAAGUCCACUGCCUGGGAAGUACGGUCGCAAGGCUGAAGCUUAAAGGAAUUGGCGGG